CCCGCCCUAGCUCAAUUGGUAGAGCGCCCGGCUGUAGACCGGGAGGUUCAGGGUUCGAGUCCCUGGGGCGGGA
This is a transfer RNA of 73 nucleotides. It matches the Rfam family "tRNA". From Rfam's summary of the family: Transfer RNA (tRNA) molecules are approximately 80 nucleotides in length. Their secondary structure includes four short double-helical elements and three loops (D, anti-codon, and T loops).